GCUUGGCUGGUUCGGUUGGUACAGCGUGUGACUCUUGAUCUCAGGGUCGUGAGUUUAAGCCCCAUGUCAGGCA
RNAcentral lists this transfer RNA (73 nucleotides) under Mustela putorius furo (domestic ferret). It matches the Rfam family "tRNA". Rfam says of the family: Transfer RNA (tRNA) molecules are approximately 80 nucleotides in length. Their secondary structure includes four short double-helical elements and three loops (D, anti-codon, and T loops). The record is from Rfam by way of RNAcentral. Lineage: Eukaryota; Metazoa; Chordata; Mammalia; Carnivora; Mustelidae.